GCCCCAUUGCCUCCUUGCUUUCUUCAAAAAUACCAAGUCAGCUCUUGCCUCAGGGUCUUUACACUUCCCUGAAACGCCACUAUCCCAGAUAUCGACAAGGCUAACACUCUCACUACUGUCAGGCCACUGCUCAGUCUUUUUACCUUCCCCAUCACUCUCUAUCUCCUUACUUUGCCUUAUUUUCCAUUUUAGAAUAUAUCCCACCUGACGUAUUAUAUUGUUAUUUAUUUGUCAUUAUUCUCUUGCUAUUAAAAUAGAUCUCCAACAGAAUGCCUAUUUUCUUCAUUACUGCAUCCCCAGGGUCUAUAAUAAUGUUCUGCUUACAACAGAUUUUCAAUCAAUGUUGCAUAAAGGGUCUUGCUUUGUUGCCCAGGCUGCUCUCAAACUCUUGGAUUCAAGAGAUCCUCUUACCUCAGCUUCCCGAGUAGCUGGGAUCACAGGAACCUGCCACCACACCCAGCCAAUGGUAACAUUUUGCAAAACUGUAGUAUAAUAUCAAGACCGGAAUAUUGACAUUGAUAUAUGUUUUAUGUUCAUUUGUGUGCAUGUGUGUGUCUGCAAAUAUGCCUUUAGAAGACACACACACACAAAGAGUCUUCAAAAAAGUUUAUGGAAAAUGUGUAUUAUGAAAAAACUAUGUAUGGAUUUCAAAUUUGUUUCAUCAAAAUAAAUUCAUAUUGUUAUAACAUGUCUGAACAGGAUCUAGUCUGAGGCACUAAGAGGGAUAAAACAUCAGUUUGUAAAGAGCCCCUUUCAGAGCAACAUGAAUUCCACUAAAAUUGAAGAAAGAACGAACGUCAAAUUUUUUGUGAAGCUUGGGUGGAAGAAUGGUAAAUUAUUCAUGCUUUACAAAAAGCUGAUAGGGACAAUACCCCAAAGAAAUCAGCAGUUUACAAAUAGAUAAAUUUUUUUUUUGAGAUAAAGUUUUGCUCUUGUUGCCCAGCCUGGAGUGCAGUGGCGUGAUCUCACCUCACUGCAACCUCUACCUCCUGGGUUCAAGCAAUUCUCCUGCCUCACCCUCCCCAGUAGCUGGGAUAACAGGCAUGAGCUACCAUGCCCAGCUAAUUUUGUGUUUUUAGUAGAGACGGGGUUUCUCCAUGUUAGUCAGACUGGUCUCAAACUCCUAACCUCAGGGGAUCUGCCUGCCUCGGCCACCCAAUGUUCUGGGAUUACAGGCGUGAGCCACCAUGCCUGGCCUGAUAACUUAUUUUAAGAAGGGUCAAGAGAAUGUAAUAGAUGAAGCCCACAGCUGCAGAUCAUCCACAUCAGUUUGCAAGAAAAAAUUAAUCUUGUUUGUGCCCUAAUGAAAGAAGACCAACAAUUAACAGCAGAAACAGUAGCCAACACUGUAGGCAUCUCAACUGGUUCCACUUACACAAUUCUAACUAAAAACUAAAGUUAAGCAAACUUUCCACUUGAUGGGUGCCAAAACUGCUGCACCCAAAUCAGCUGCAGACAAGAGGUGUUUUCAGUGGAAAUUUUGAAGUGAGAUCAUGAUCCUGAAGCAUUUCUUCAAAGAAUUGUAACAGGAGAUGAAACAUGGCUUUACCAGUACAAUCCUGAAGACAAAGCACAAUCAAAACAAUAGCUACCAAGAAAUAGAAGUGGGCCAGUCAAACCAAAAGCAGACUGGUCAGGAGUAGAGGUCAUGGCAACAGUUUUUUGGGGAUGCUCAAGGCAUUUUGCUCGAGGGCUAAAGAAUGAUGACAUGUGCUUAUUAGGAGAGUGUUUUGAGAAAGUUAGCUGAAGCUUCAGCAGAAAAACAUCCGUGAAAGUCUCACCAAAG
This 1786-nucleotide long non-coding RNA is filed under the name Callithrix jacchus (white-tufted-ear marmoset). RNAcentral's name for it is "lncRNA (ENSCJAG00000075989.1)". The record is from RNAcentral. Lineage: Eukaryota; Metazoa; Chordata; Mammalia; Primates; Cebidae.